This 616-nucleotide ribosomal RNA is filed under the name uncultured Legionella sp. RNAcentral's name for it is "bacterial SSU rRNA". It matches the Rfam family "Bacterial small subunit ribosomal RNA", at positions 242 to 849 of the family's 1533-position model. The record is from RNAcentral. Lineage: Bacteria; Pseudomonadati; Pseudomonadota; Gammaproteobacteria; Legionellales; Legionellaceae.
UAGCUAGUUGGUGGGGUAAGGGCCUACCAAGGCGACGAUCGGUAGCUGGUCUGAGAGGAUGACCAGCCACACUGGAACUGAGACACGGUCCAGACUCCUACGGGAGGCAGCAGUGGGGAAUAUUGGACAAUGGGGGGAACCCUGAUCCAGCAAUGCCGCGUGUGUGAAGAAGGCCUGAGGGUUGUAAAGCACUUUCAGUGGGGAGGAGAGAUUAUUGGUUAAGAGCUGAUGAUUUGGACGUUACCCACAGAAGAAGCACCGGCUAACUCCGUGCCAGCAGCCGCGGUAAUACGGAGGGUGCGAGCGUUAAUCGGAAUUACUGGGCGUAAAGGGUGCGUAGGUGGUUAUAUAAGUUAUGUGUGAAAUUCCUGGGCUCAACCUGGGCAGGUCAGAUAAUACUGUAUGACUGGAGUAUGGGAGAGGGUAGUGGAAUUUCCGGUGUAGCGGUGAAAUGCGUAGAGAUCGGAAGGAACACCAGUGGCGAAGGCGGCUACCUGGCCUAAUACUGACACUGAGGCACGAAAGCGUGGGGAGCAAACAGGAUUAGAUACCCUGGUAGUCCACGCUGUAAACGAUGUCAACUAGCUGUUGGUUAUAUGAAAAUAAUUAGUGGCGC